CAGUCGCCACGGUAACACGUAGGUGGCAAGCGUUGUCCGGAAUUAUUGGGCGUAAAGCGCGCGCAGGCGGAUAGGUCAGUCUGUCUUAAAAGUUCGGGGCUUAACCCCGUGAUGAGAUGGAAACUGCCAAUCUAGAGUAUCGGAGAGGAAAGUGGAAUUCCUAGUUUAGCGGUGAAAUGCGUAGAUAUUAGGAAGAACACCAGUGGCGAAGGCGACUUUCUGGACGAAAACUGACACUGAGGCGCGAAAGCCAGGGGAGCGAACGGGAUUAGAUACCCGUGUAGUCCCUGUCUCUUAUACA
Molecule: ribosomal RNA, 301 nt
Filed under: uncultured bacterium
Lineage: Bacteria
Description: partial 16S ribosomal RNA
Rfam family: Bacterial small subunit ribosomal RNA
Source: RNAcentral